Apodemus sylvaticus (European woodmouse) is the source of this 374-nucleotide long non-coding RNA. RefSeq lists it as uncharacterized. The record is from RefSeq and is a predicted model, not a curated record. The transcript is spliced from 2 exons. Lineage: Eukaryota; Metazoa; Chordata; Mammalia; Rodentia; Muridae.
AGGAGAGAGGGAGUCCCUUUUUGGACUGGGAUAGCUUGAGGACAAGAUGUAGCUACUAGUGUCUCCUGGCUUCAAUGGCAGAUUUGUCAGGAUUCGCCUCUGGAGGAUUUAGAUUUAAUAAGGCUUGCAAGAUUAGGAUUUUAGCUGUUGCAUCCAGUGAUUGAGUUACUGUUGUUUCUGAACUAAGUUUGUGUGGUAUUUUCCUUCAUGUGGUGGCUCAUCUGGAUUCAAGAGAGAAAGGUAUAAAUGAGCUUCUCAUCUCAAAGGCACCUUCCCUACACUGGAAAAGUGGAUACCCUACCUUUAAGGACAAGAAGUCGUCAUGUGGGGUGUGGGGUUCCGCAAAGCCUUUGAUAAAAUAACUUACCUUUUAA